RNAcentral lists this ribosomal RNA (253 nucleotides) under uncultured bacterium. RNAcentral describes it as "partial 16S ribosomal RNA". It matches the Rfam family "Bacterial small subunit ribosomal RNA", at positions 524 to 776 of the family's 1533-position model. The record is from RNAcentral.
UACGGAGGGUGCAAGCGUUGCUCGGAAUCAUUGGGCGUAAAGGGUGAGUAGGUGGUCUCGCAUGUCAGGGUGAAAUCCCUGGCUUAACUUAGGAACUGCCUCUGAAACGGCGAGACUGGAGUACUGGAGAGGGUCGGUGGAAUUCCCGGUGUAGAGGUGAAAAUUCGUAGAUAUCGGGAGGAACACCAGUGGCGAAGGCGACUACCUGGCCUGUUCUUGACGCUGAGGCGCGACAGCGUGGGGAGCAAACGAG